Molecule: ribosomal RNA, 1429 nt
Filed under: metagenome
Description: bacterial LSU rRNA
Rfam family: Bacterial large subunit ribosomal RNA
Source: RNAcentral
GAGAGAGAGCGUGAGCCGGGAAUGGAAAGACCGGUACAAGCGAGGUAGGAGAAGAGUUGGCAAAUCCGCUCUUUAAUCUGAAGCCGUGAUGUGGACUGAAAAUAAGUAGGGAAGCACGUGAGCUGACUGUCAAGAAAAGCCGCUAUUGUUUGCAGGAUACCCGUACCGUAAACCGACACAGGUGGAUGAGGAGAGAAUCCUAAGGCCGACGGGAGAAGCAUUGUUAAGGAACUCGGCAAAAUGACUCCGUAACUUCGGGAGAAGGAGUGCCAGUAAGAUGGCCGCAGAGAAUUGGCCCAAGCAACUGUUUAGCAGAAACACAGGUCUAUGCAAAACCGAAAGGUGAGGUAUAUGGGCUGACGCCUGCCCGGUGCUGGAAGGUUAAGGGGAGAGGUUAGCGCAAGCGAAGCUUUGAACUUAAGCCCCAGUAAACGGCGGCCGUAACAAUAACGGUCCUAAGGUAGCGAAAUUCCUUGUCGGGUAAGUUCCGACCCGCACAAAAGGCGUAAUGAUUUGGGCACUGUCUCAACAAUGCACCCGGUGAAAUUGAAAUACCAGUGAAGAUGCUGGUUACCUGCGCCAGGACGGAAAGACCCCAUGGAGCUUUACUCCAGCUUGAUACUGGGAUUCGGUAUUGCAUGUACAGGAUAGGUGGGAGGCUAUGAAAUGGUAACGCCAGUUGCCAUGGAGCCAAUGUUGGGAUACCACCCUUGCAGUACUGGGUUUCUAACCAGCAGCCGUGAUCCGGCUGGGGGACAAUGUCAGGUGGGGAGUUUGACUGGGGCGGUCGCCUCCGAAAGGGUAUCGGAGGCGCUCAAAGGUUCCCUCAGAAUGGUUGGAAACCAUUCGAAGAGUGCAAAGGCAGAAGGGAGCUUGACUGCGACACCGACGGGUGGAGCAGGUACGAAAGUAGGACUUAGUGAUCCGGUGGUAUAAAGUGGGAUUGCCAUCGCUCAACGGAUAAAAGCUACCCUGGGAUAACAGGCUUAUCACUCCCAAGAGUUCACAUCGACGGAGUGGUUUGGCACCUCAAUGUCGGCUCAUCGCAUCCUGGGGCUGAAGUAGGUCCCAAGGGUUGGGCUGUUCGCCCAUUAAAGCGGUACGCGAGCUGGGUUCAGAACGUCGUGAGACAGUUCGGUCCCUAUCCGGCGUGGGCGUAAGAUAUUUGAGAGGAGCUGUCCUUAGUACGAGAGGACCGGGAUGGACUGGCCGCUGGUGUAUCUGUUGUCUUACCAAAGGCAUAGCAGAGUAGCCAAGCCGGGAAGGGAUAAACGCUGAAGGCAUCUAAGCGUGAAGCCCCCCUCAAGAUGAGAUAUCUCAUAACGUCAAGUUAGUAAGACCCCUUGAAGACGACGAGGUAGAUAGGGCAGAGGUGGAAGUGUGGUAACACAUGGAGCUGACUGUUACUAAUAGGUCGAGGGCAUAACCU